This 368-nucleotide ribosomal RNA is filed under the name uncultured archaeon. RNAcentral describes it as "partial 16S ribosomal RNA". It matches the Rfam family "Archaeal small subunit ribosomal RNA", at positions 402 to 770 of the family's 1478-position model. The record is from RNAcentral.
GGAGUCUUUUGUCAGUUGUAGAAUCACUGGUGAAUAAGGGGUGGGCAAGUUCUGGUGUCAGCCGCCGCGGUAAAACCAGCACCUCGAGUGGUCANNNGGUUUAUUGGGCCUAAAGCAUCCGUAGCCGNNNNNAUAAGUUUUCGGUUAAAUCUAUGCGCUUAACGUAUAGGCCGCCGAAAAUACUGUGCAGCUAGGGAGUGGAGAGGUACACGGUACUCGAUAGGAAGGGGUAAAAUCCUUUGAUCUAUUGAUGACCACCUGUGGCGAAGGCGGUGUACCAGAACACGUUCGACGGUGAGGGAUGAAAGCUGGGGGAGCAAACCGGAUUAGAUACCCGGGUAGUCCCAGCUGUAAACGAUGCAGACUCG